UGGGGAAUAUUGGACAAUGGGCGAAAGCCUGAUCCAGCCAUGCCGCUUGUGUGAAGAAGGUCUUCGGAUUGUAAAGCACUUUAAGUUGGGAGGAAGGGCAGUAAGCGAAUACCUUGCUGUUUUGACGUUACCGACAGAAUAAGCACCGGCUAACUCUGUGCCAGCAGCCGCGGUAAUACAGAGGGUGCAAGCGUUAAUCGGAAUUACUGGGCGUAAAGCGCGCGUAGGUGGUUCGUUAAGUUGAAUGUGAAAGCCCCGGGCUCAACCUGGGAACUGCAUCAAAAACUGGCGAGCUAGAGUAGGGCAGAGGGUGGUGGAAUUUCCUGUGUAGCGGUGAAAUGCGUAGAUAUAGGAAGGAACACCAGUGGCGAAGGCGACCACCUGGGCUCAUACUGACACUGAGGUGCGAAAGCGUGGGGAGCAAACAGG
Molecule: ribosomal RNA, 429 nt
Filed under: Pseudomonadota bacterium
Lineage: Bacteria; Pseudomonadati; Pseudomonadota
Description: Proteobacteria bacterium partial 16S ribosomal RNA
Rfam family: Bacterial small subunit ribosomal RNA
Source: RNAcentral